UGGCCCGCUUUGGCACUAGCACAUUUUUGCUUCUGGUUGUAGCUUUUGAGCAAUUAUGUGUAGUGCCAAUAUGGGAGA
This 78-nucleotide microRNA precursor is filed under the name Colius striatus (speckled mousebird). RNAcentral describes it as "mir-96 microRNA precursor family". It matches the Rfam family "mir-96 microRNA precursor family". RNAcentral also lists the same sequence under 1 other name. The record is from Rfam by way of RNAcentral. Lineage: Eukaryota; Metazoa; Chordata; Aves; Coliiformes; Coliidae.